GGGGCUGACAGGUUUCGACGUCAGUGUCGAUGUGCGAUCGUGCGACCCGAGUUGCUCAGACUCGUAAAACGGGGCAAAAAAACAACUGCCAACAAGCAGUUCGCUCUCGCCGCCUAAUUCAUUAGGGGGUAGAGAGCAACCGUGAGCCGCAAGGUCGCACG
Molecule: transfer-messenger RNA, 161 nt
Filed under: Actinomycetota bacterium
Lineage: Bacteria; Bacillati; Actinomycetota
Description: Actinobacteria bacterium partial transfer-messenger RNA
Rfam family: transfer-messenger RNA
About the family: Bacterial tmRNA, also known as 10Sa RNA or SsrA, is named for its dual tRNA and mRNA-like properties. Its role is to liberate the mRNA from a stalled ribosome.
Source: RNAcentral